CAUUAGAUGGCCGAAAGUAAGCAAUGGAAUUUUAAACCAUAAUAUAGUAAUUAACACUUACUUCUAAUG
RNAcentral lists this transfer RNA (69 nucleotides) under Distenia punctulatoides. RNAcentral describes it as "tRNA-Lys". The record is from RNAcentral. Lineage: Eukaryota; Metazoa; Arthropoda; Insecta; Coleoptera; Cerambycidae.